UGCGUAGGUGGCAAGCGUUGUCCGGAAUUAUUGGGCGUAAAGAGCAUGUAGGUGGGCUGUUAAGUCUGUUGUGAAAAUGCGGGGCUCAACCCCGUAUUGCGAUGGAAACUGACAGUCUUGAGUGCAGGAGAGGAAAGGGGAAUUCCCAGUGUAGCGGUGAAAUGCGUAGAUAUUGGGAGGAACACCAGUGGCGAAGGCGCCUUUCUGGACUGUGUCUGACACUGAGAUGCGAAAGCUAGGGGAGCGAACGGG
RNAcentral lists this ribosomal RNA (252 nucleotides) under uncultured bacterium. RNAcentral describes it as "partial 16S ribosomal RNA". It matches the Rfam family "Bacterial small subunit ribosomal RNA", at positions 524 to 776 of the family's 1533-position model. The record is from RNAcentral.